AGUGAACGCUGGCGGCGUGCUUAACACAUGCAAGUCGAACGAGAACGGAAUUAAAGCUUGCUUUAAUUGUCAGCUAAGUGGCGCACGGGUGAGUAAUAUAUAGGUAACGUGCCCUAGAGAGGGGGAUAACAUUUGGAAACGAAUGCUAACACCCCAUAUGCCUCUAUCCCAUAAGGGAGCAAGGGAAAUAUUUAUAGCUCUAGGAUCGGCCUGUACGGUAUCAGUUUGUUGGUGAGGUAAUGGCUCACCAAGACUAUGACGCCUAACUGGUUUGAGAGGAUGAUCAGUCACACUGGAACUGAGACACGGUCCAG
Molecule: ribosomal RNA, 314 nt
Filed under: uncultured Arcobacter sp.
Lineage: Bacteria; Pseudomonadati; Campylobacterota; Epsilonproteobacteria; Campylobacterales; Arcobacteraceae
Description: bacterial SSU rRNA
Rfam family: Bacterial small subunit ribosomal RNA
Source: RNAcentral